This 463-nucleotide ribosomal RNA is filed under the name Xanthias punctatus. Its description in RNAcentral is "partial 16S ribosomal RNA". It matches the Rfam family "Bacterial large subunit ribosomal RNA", at positions 1951 to 2611 of the family's 2925-position model. The record is from RNAcentral. Lineage: Eukaryota; Metazoa; Arthropoda; Malacostraca; Decapoda; Xanthidae.
CAAAGGUAGCAUAAUCAUUAGAGGUUUAAUUGGAAUCUGGUAUGAAGGGUUGGACAAAGGAAAAACUGUCUUAAAUAUAAAAUUUGAAAUUUACUUUUAGGUGAAAAGGCCUAAAUAUUUCAAAGGGACGAUAAGACCCUAUAAAGCUUUAUAAAUAAUUUAAGUUUAGUUGAUUUAAAAUUUUAAGGGCUAAGGUUAAUUAUUUUAUUUCAUUGGGGUGAUGCGAGUAUAAAUGUUGUUAACUGCUUGGUUUUAAAUUCUGUUGUAGAAGAAUUACACACAUAUAUGAUCCUUUUUAAAGAUUAAAAGACUAAGUUACUUUAGGGAUAACAGCGUUAUUUCUUUUGAGAGUUCAUAUCGAAAAAGAAGAUUGCGACCUCGAUGUUGAAUUAAAAUGUCUAUAUAAUGCAGUCGUUAUAAAAGAGGGUCUGUUCGACCUUUAAAUUUUUACAUGAUUUGAGUU